This 69-nucleotide transfer RNA is filed under the name Ictidomys tridecemlineatus (thirteen-lined ground squirrel). RNAcentral's name for it is "Spermophilus tridecemlineatus (thirteen-lined ground squirrel) tRNA". It matches the Rfam family "tRNA". Rfam says of the family: Transfer RNA (tRNA) molecules are approximately 80 nucleotides in length. Lineage: Eukaryota; Metazoa; Chordata; Mammalia; Rodentia; Sciuridae. The record is from Rfam by way of RNAcentral.
GGGAUUGUAGCUCAGUAGUAGAGCACUUGCCUAGCAUGCAUGAGGCACUGGGUUUAAUACCCAGUACCA